AUAUGAAAUCAAUCUAAUGCAUGUGUGGCAGGUUGAGUGUUGCUCCUCCUCCACUCAGGUGAUUUCUGGUGGGCAGAUUGCAGAGUGGUUUCACCUGUAUAAGUGCUGCGCCUUCUCUGGCGCGCACACUGCUGCCUGGCACUCGUGGCGAAGACUCGGUGUGGCGUCUGUUAGUUGUUGGUUUGUUGUCGGUUGGUUGUCGGUUGGUGUGGCGUGCUUCAGUCACUUGAAGGUGAGUAGGCAUGACGCUACUUUCGUGCAACUUUAUGAUGACAAGCAGGUGCCCAGUGAUCGCGAGUGUUUUUGUAACUUUCCAGCGUUGUUGGCCGUGUUGUUCGGGGGCGGCAUUGUGAAGAGUGAGGGGAGUGUGGCAUCCGCUCUGUACUGUUGCCGCAGCCGGUGAUCAGUUUCGGGGGCGUAAAGCUCUCUUCGUUCGGCUGUUGGAGCCGCAGCGGUGCUUUUGCUUUUCUUCCUCCUCCUGUGCUCUGGUGAAGCUGCCCUGCACGGCUCUGUGACGUAGCCUACACCUGGCGAUCCCAAACGUAAACCAUCCACGGCCUCCGGUCCUGGGGCGGCCGCUCUGUCUUCGCCAGCCGCUCCGUCUUCUCCAUCCACUCCGUCGUCUUCAUCAUCUUCGGCUGCUCCGGCACCGUUGCCUUUUUCCACACAGUCCGAUGUGGCGGUUGCAGUCCCACCACAACUCUUAUCGGUUUGGUUAAUUGUCUGCUUUUCCUUUCAUCUUUUUGUGUUUGUGUUCUUUAGUUUAUUUGUUUGGGUUAAAUCCUAUACAUACAUAUAUUUUUGUGUUGCGUUUUGUUGACCCAUUUGGGGUUAAGCAUAUCAAUAUUUUCUUAUUAUUUCUGAUCUAUUGCUUUGGGGUUCAACUGAUUAUUUUCUGUUUAGUUUAACAUAGCUGUUGGGUUUGUGUUUGGGGUGUUAAAUACGCCUGGCCCCCACCCACAGUUAAAUUUCGUUUGUUUCCUUAUUACUUGUCUUAAGAAUUAGUUGGGUUUCUGUAUAUUUGUAUUUGGGUUUAAAUAUUUGGUUAUGAGUCAGUUCUGUUCCUGAGUGUGAGUGUGUGUGUGUGUGUGUGUCCUCUGUUUUAAAUGAUUGUCGUAACAACCUGAGUGUCUCGCCACAACAGUAGUGUAAUUUUUGUGUUUCUUUCUUGUGUUUCCAGGACAGGAGCUGGUGCAGCGGGCGGCAGGCUUGGUUUGUAGUGGUUCUUUUGUGGUUUUGAGUUGAUUUAGUCUGACCGCCUCGCUACAGCCUAGCUCUGUGCCUGUUGUAUUUAUUUCUACUUUGGGGUUUUGACUUGACACUUCAGUGGUUGUUGAGAUCCCUGAGCUCUUUUAAUUCUGCUUACCGUAAAUAAAUAAAAUUAUAUCUUUUGUAA
Gadus macrocephalus (Pacific cod) is the source of this 1396-nucleotide long non-coding RNA. RefSeq lists it as uncharacterized. The transcript has 2 exons. Lineage: Eukaryota; Metazoa; Chordata; Actinopteri; Gadiformes; Gadidae. The record is from RefSeq and is a predicted model, not a curated record.